This is a long non-coding RNA of Populus nigra (black poplar), 2486 nucleotides long. RefSeq lists it as uncharacterized. NCBI's taxonomy places the organism in Eukaryota, Viridiplantae, Streptophyta, Magnoliopsida, Malpighiales, Salicaceae. The transcript is spliced from 3 exons. The record is from RefSeq and is a predicted model, not a curated record.
UAGGCACCCCUAGCUAAGUAGCUAUACCUACCCCCAGCAAAAGAAAAAUGCCACUUUACAGUAUAAACAGUACACAGAUGUUUAGCAAAGGAAAAGCUUGUGCUUGUGUUUUGUUUUAUUUUAUUCCUUUUUUUUUUUUUAAUUAGAGGAGAUCAAGAGGGCAAAAACCAGAAUAAGCAACAGAAAAACGAAGGAAACUACGAACUCCUUAAAUAUCCUACCAGAGGAAACUCAGGCAGGCAGCACAGAGGAACUUGAGCAAAGUCGACAGUCAUUUAAAGUCCAUAUUGUCGAAAGCGAAAUUCGCUGCCUCCCCUUCAAUCUGCUCUGCUGGCCUCCCAAGGCCUGCUUCAAACAAUAUUUCGACUUCUUUGGAUGAUUUCCAGCCUUCCCACAAACAAUUUGCUCUAGUAACCCUUAUUUGGAGCGGAAACCCUAAAUUAACCUUUUGUUAACCGGAACCUCGAGAGGCUGAAGAUAUCCCGUGAAUGAAUAUUCAAAGUGUUGAAUGCUCAAUAUAUAUAAAGUUGAGCGUCGCCCAGCCUAGCUCACCUGGGCCUCGCCAGGUGAGCAACAGCACCUCGCCUGGGCCAGGCAAUGCCAGCAGCACCUCGCCUGUCUCACCUCACAUGGAUUGCCAGGCAGCUCGCCUGGGUCAGCCGGUGCAAUUCACCGGAACUCGUUCAAAGUGAGCUCCACGUCUCAUGGUUGGUCUCGUCAUGGUCUCCAUCAUAGCUUCACAUGAGCUUCAAGGUCUCAAACGUCGCUUUAUGUUCUUUAACAUAACGCCAUAUCAGCUCUACAUCCAAUGAUCUUCAACAUAACUCCAAUAUAACCUCACAUGAGCUCCACGUCUCCAACACAACUCCAUGUCUUCAUAUAAAAAAAAUCACAUGACUUCAUAAAUAAUCCAAAUCAUUAAAAUUACAAGUGCUAAGGUUUUUAUAUGAUGAAAAUUAUCAUUUUGUUUUAUGUAUGUGAAAAAGUUAUUACCUACACUUGCAUUUGCAAUACCUCUAUAGUUGUCACCUGAUGUGACUAAGUAUAUCUCUCAUGAGCACAAUGCAUUUAUUUUUAUUUUUCACCUAUUUUGUUGCUCACUUUUGAAAUUUGAAGUCACGCGAGUAUCAAACUUUUAAAAUUUAAAGUCAGCAACACCUUGUUUGGGCUUUUAGGCAAGGUGAACAUCAUCUUAUCUGGGUCAAUCAGGAGAGCAACCUGGGGUUAGCCUGAGCAAUUCAACUGACCUAACUUAACAUUUUUUUCCUUUAGCCUAAUUUUUUUCUUUAUUAUUUUACAUGAAUUCUUCUAUAAAAAUAUACAUCUUAUGGUAAUAUAUUUUUUUUAACGGGCCGACAUUUAUUCAUGGAAGUGGAAGACAAAAAACCAUUAUACGAGCUAUGAAAAUAAAGUGUUGUUAUCACCUACGAGUCACCAUAAUUAAGCUUGUGCUACUAACAAAAAACAUGGUACCUUUUUUAUGGUCAAUAGAAGAUAAAACAUCACCCUACAGUUAUAUCAAUGCCAUUUACAUUAGAUAAAUCACCACCUCCCUUGAGCUAGGAGAUAAAAAGCCACAAUAAUCGAUGAUCACCUUUCAGCUGCCCUAAUUAACACCCAUUACUGUAAGUUAAUUUUAAUAAGAGGUCUUACCCUUAAGAUCAGACAAUAUUUAGAACAAGAGAAAUGGACAUUCAUUUUUCUUCUUCAAAUAUCUUUUACCUGCUUAACACUAGCUUGAACAAACAAACUCAAAUUAACUUUAGCAUCAAAGAGUUUGCUUUGCAGGUAACACUCACCAUAAAAAUGCAGCCCAAUCCAUUAUUAGUUGUGGAAAUGCCUAGUGAAUUAUUUGAGGUUUUUUCUAACUUCAUCACAGGGUAAAAAAAAUGUAUACAUUUAAUGGAAUAAACAUUAAGUAUUCAAUUACAACAUAUCAAACAUAUAGAAAUUCUAAAAGACAAAAGUAAGUUGCAAUGGAAAAGUUGGAUAAGGAUAUUAUACUUUUAAAAAUACUAUGCACUUUGAAAUAUUUUCACAUCCUUUGUUUUGAUUAUAAGGAGAAAAUGCCUCUCAUAGGUUAAAAAAAAGCACAAAAUCAAGUUCUUUCUAAAGUUAAUGGAUAAAUCAGGAGAUUGAGUUUAUUAGAUUUAGAUUUCACAAAUACUUUUAAAACAUAUCAUCUUUACAGUUAAUGAAGACCCUUUAAUUAUUAAGUUAAUAAAGGAAAAAGAUUUUUACAGCCAAGAUAGAGUGUAUGUGACGCAACCUAUAGCAUUAAGGUUUCUCAAGCCCUAAAAAUUACAGUCUUGUAAUCUAGAGAAAAAAACUAGAGUUCUCAAACCUUAAAAUUAUAACCCUUAACUAUAGAUGAAAAUUAUAGAGAAACCUUGUAUGUUCAAAAAGGUCUUUAAUUUAUAAAUAUCUUGAAAAAAAUAUCAGGUUAACUGUUUAUAUGGAUGUAAAAAACCAACCUAACAAAAAAA